Molecule: ribosomal RNA, 506 nt
Filed under: Zafra ocellatula
Lineage: Eukaryota; Metazoa; Mollusca; Gastropoda; Neogastropoda; Columbellidae
Description: partial large subunit ribosomal RNA
Rfam family: Bacterial large subunit ribosomal RNA
Source: RNAcentral
GGCUCUUUGAUGAUUUAUAAUAAAGAGUUGGACCUGCCCACUGAAUUUUUUAACGGCCGCGGUACUCUGACCGUGCAAAGGUAGCAUAAUCAUUUGCCUUAUAAUUGAAGGCUUGUAUGAAUGGUUUGACAAGAAUAUAGCUGUCUCUAUAUAAUUUUAUAGAAUUUUACUUUGAAGUGAAGAGGCUUGAAUAUAAUUAAAAGACAAGAAGACCCUAUCGAGCUUGAAAAAAUGUAAUGGAAGUAAUUAAAUAUUAUUUAGAAAAUUGUCUAUUAUAGAUUUUGGUUGGGGCGACUUAGGAACAUAAAAAGCUUCCUAUAUAUAAAUAUAAAGCAAUUGAUCCAAAAUUUUUUGAUUAAGGAAAUUAGUUACCGUAGGGAUAACAGCAUUAUCUUCUUUGAGAGUUCAUAUCGAAAAGGGGGUUUGUGACCUCGAUGUUGGACCAGAAUAUCCUAAAGGUGUAGCAGUCUUUAAGGGUUGGUCUGUUCGACCAUUAAAAUUCUACG